CGCCUCGGCCACCGCGCAGCUGCCGGUCCACCUCCGCCACCGCUUAGCCGUGCUCAGAGCCCGGCCGAGGAGGCUGCUGCCGCCGCCAGGAGCCCGCAGCCCGCGCCCCGAGCCCGCCGCGCCACCCUCCGAGGGCGCCCCAGGCCGCGCCAUGGUGAAGGUGACGGUCAAUUCGGCUCUGGCCCAGAAGGAGGCCAAGAAGGACGAGGCCAAGAGCGGCGAGGAGGCGCUCAUCAUCCCUCCGGACGCCGUUGCCGUGGACUGCAAGGACCCAGCUGAAGUGGUUCCAGUUGGCCAAAGAAGAGCUUGGUGUUGGUGCAUGUGCUUUGGACUGGCGUUUAUGCUCGCGGGUGUCAUUCUAGGGGGAGCGUACCUGUACAAAUAUUUUGCACUUCAACCAGAUGACGUCUACUACUGUGGAAUAAAGUACAUCAAAGAUGAUGUCAUCUUAAAUGAGCCUUCUGCAGACGCCCCAGCCGCUCGCUACCAGACCAUUGAGGAAAAUAUCAAGAUCUUUGAGGAAGAUGAGGUUGAAUUCAUCAGCGUGCCUGUCCCAGAGUUUGCAGAUAGUGACCCUGCCAAUACUGUUCAUGACUUUAACAAGAAACUCACUGCCUAUUUGGAUCUUAACCUGGAUAAGUGCUAUGUGAUUCCUCUGAACACUUCCAUUGUCAUGCCACCCAAAAACCUAUUGGAGUUACUUAUUAACAUAAAGGCUGGGACCUACUUGCCUCAGUCAUAUCUGAUUCAUGAACACAUGGUCAUCACUGAUCGCAUUGAAAACAUUGACCACCUGGGUUUCUAUAUUUAUCGACUGUGCCAUGACAAGGAAACGUACAAACUGCAACGCAGAGAAACCAUUAAAAGUAUUCAGAAACGUGAAGCCAGCAUCUGUGCUACGAUUCGGCAUUUUGAGAACAGAUUCGCCGUGGAAACUUUAAUUUGCUCUUGAACAGUCAAGAAAAACAUAAUGGAGAGAAAUUUAAUACCACAGCAUAACCCCACCCUUUGUAUUUUGUGCAGUGAUUAUUUUUUAAAAAAUCUUCUUUCAUGUAAGUAGCACAUAGGGCUUCACAAUUUUUUCAUCUCAUUAACUCAAUUAAAACCAUUAUCUUUAAAAAUCUUUUUUUCUUUCCAA
This is a non-coding RNA of Odocoileus virginianus texanus, 1138 nucleotides long. The record is from RefSeq and is a predicted model, not a curated record. Lineage: Eukaryota; Metazoa; Chordata; Mammalia; Artiodactyla; Cervidae.